UACGGAAGGCAGCAGUGGGGAAUAUUGCACAAUGGGCGCAAGCCUGAUGCAGCCAUGCCGCGUGUAUGAAGAAGGCCUUCGGGUUGUAAAGUACUUUCAGUCGUGAGGAAGGUGUUAAGGUUAAUAACCUUAGCAAUUGACGUUAGCGACAGAAGAAGCACCGGCUAACUCCGUGCCAGCAGCCGCGGUAAUACGGAGGGUGCGAGCGUUAAUCGGAAUUACUGGGCGUAAAGGGCACGCAGGCGGUUAAUUAAGUUGGAUGUGAAAUCCCCGGGCUUAACCUGGGAAUGGCAUUCAAGACUGGUUAGCUAGAGUCUUGUAGAGGGGGUAGAAUUCCAUGUGUAGCGGUGAAAUGCGUAGAGAUGUGGAGGAAUACCGGUGGGCGAAGGCGGCCCCUGGGACAAAGCUGACGCUCA
This 416-nucleotide ribosomal RNA is filed under the name uncultured bacterium. RNAcentral describes it as "bacterial SSU rRNA". It matches the Rfam family "Bacterial small subunit ribosomal RNA", at positions 340 to 749 of the family's 1533-position model. The record is from RNAcentral.